AUUAGAUACCCUGGUAGUCCACGCAGUAAACGAUGAAUGCUAGAUGUCCGGGUCGAAUGAGACCUGGGUGUCACAGCGAAAGCGUUAAGCAUUCCACCUGGGGAGUACGCCGGCAACGGUGAAACUCAAAGGAAUUGACGGGGGCCCGCACAAGCGGAGGAACAUGUGGUUUAAUUCGAUGAUACGCGAGGAACCUUACCCGGGCUCAAACGUGGAAGGAAUGAGUGUGAAAGCAUUCAGUCCUCCGGGACUUUCCACGAGGUGCUGCAUGGUUGUCGUCAGCUCGUGCCGUGAGGUGUCGGCUUAAGUGCCAUAACGAGCGCAACCCCCAUCGACAGUUGCUAACAGGUAAAGCUGAGGACUCUGUCGAGACUGCCGGCGCAAGCUGUGAGGAAGGCGGGGAUGACGUCAAAUCAGCACGGCCCUUACGUCCGGGGCGACACACGUGUUACAAUGGCAGGGACAGCGGGAAGCCAUCCGGCGACGGAGAGCGGAACCCGAAACCCUGUCUCAGUUCGGAUUGGAGUCUGCAACUCGACUCCAUGAAGCUGGAUUCGCUAGUAAUCGCGCAUCAGCCAUGGCGCGGUGAAUACGUUCCCGGGCCUUGUACACACCGCCCGUCAAGCCAUGGAAGCCGGGAGUGCCUGAAGUACGUGACCGUAAAAGGAGCGUCCUAGGGUAAAACCGGUGACUGGGGCUAAGUCGUAACAAGGUAACAAGGGCGAAUUUCGCGGCCC
RNAcentral lists this ribosomal RNA (737 nucleotides) under uncultured bacterium. RNAcentral describes it as "bacterial SSU rRNA". It matches the Rfam family "Bacterial small subunit ribosomal RNA", at positions 777 to 1533 of the family's 1533-position model. The record is from RNAcentral.